Molecule: ribosomal RNA, 439 nt
Filed under: uncultured bacterium
Lineage: Bacteria
Description: partial 16S ribosomal RNA
Rfam family: Bacterial small subunit ribosomal RNA
Source: RNAcentral
CUACGGGUUGCACCAGUGAGGAAUAUUGCACAAUGGGGGGAACCCUGAUGCAGCAACGCCGCGUGGAGGAUGACGCAUUUCGGUGUGUAAACUCCUUUUAUAUGUCAAGAAAAUGACGGUAGCAUAUGAAUAAGCACCGGCUAACUCCGUGCCAGCAGCCGCGGUAAUACGGAGGGUGCAAGCGUUACUCGGAAUCACUGGGCGUAAAGGACGCGUAGGCGGGUUGGAAAGUCAGGUGUGAAAUCCUACAGCUUAACUGUAGAACUGCACUUGAAACUUCUAAUCUAGAGUAUGGGAGGGGGGGAUGGAAUUAAUGGUGUAGGGGUAAAAUCCGUAGAUAUCACUAGGAAUACCUAAAGCGAAGGCGAUCUCCUGGAACAUUACUGACGCUAAGGCGUGAAAGCGUGGGGAGCAAACAGGAUUAGAUACCCUCGUAGUC